AUGAAGGGUUCUUUCCAAGAUGCUUUGAAGUCACUUGAGCCACUAGAACAGCCCAUUACUCCUCCUCUUGAAAUCAUUGUCGCGCUUGAAAAGAUCCCAGACUUGGCUCGUUCAGACAUGUUGCGAGCAUAUGGUAAACUCAUCCUUAGUGAAUGCUUAUUCCAAGCGCUUAUGGAGUUGCCCAUGGAGUUUAGGAAGGAAUGGUUGUUGAUGCUCAAUGAGAAGAACAACGUUUGA
Molecule: ribosomal RNA, 237 nt
Filed under: Triticum aestivum (bread wheat)
Lineage: Eukaryota; Viridiplantae; Streptophyta; Magnoliopsida; Poales; Poaceae
Description: partial small subunit ribosomal RNA
Source: RNAcentral